AAAUUGAAGAGUUUGAUCAUGGCUCAGAUUGAACGCUGGCGGCAGGCCUAACACAUGCAAGUCGAACGGUAGCACAGAGAGCUUGCUCUCGGGUGACGAGUGGCGGACGGGUGAGUAAUGUCUGGGAAACUGCCUGAUGGAGGGGGAUAACUACUGGAAACGGUAGCUAAUACCGCAUAACGUCGCAAGACCAAAGAGGGGGACCUUCGGGCCUCUUGCCAUCAGAUGUGCCCAGAUGGGAUUAGCUAGUAGGUGGGGUAACGGCUCACCUAGGCGACGAUCCCUAGCUGGUCUGAGAGGAUGACCAGCCACACUGGAACUGAGACACGGUCCAGACUCCUACGGGAGGCAGCAGUGGGGAAUAUUGCACAAUGGGCGCAAGCCUGAUGCAGCCAUGCCGCGUGUAUGAAGAAGGCCUUCGGGUUGUAAAGUACUUUCAGCGGGGAGGAAGGUGUUGCGGUUAAUAACCGCAGCAAUUGACGUUACCCGCAGAAGAAGCACCGGCUAACUCCGUGCCAGCAGCCGCGGUAAUACGGAGGGUGCAAGCGUUAAUCGGAAUUACUGGGCGUAAAGCGCACGCAGGCGGUCUGUCAAGUCGGAUGUGAAAUCCCCGGGCUCAACCUGGGAACUGCAUUCGAAACUGGCAGGCUAGAGUCUUGUAGAGGGGGGUAGAAUUCCAGGUGUAGCGGUGAAAUGCGUAGAGAUCUGGAGGAAUACCGGUGGCGAAGGCGGCCCCCUGGACAAAGACUGACGCUCAGGUGCGAAAGCGUGGGGAGCAAACAGGAUUAGAUACCCUGGUAGUCCACGCCGUAAACGAUGUCGACUUGGAGGUUGUUCCCUUGAGGAGUGGCUUCCGGAGCUAACGCGUUAAGUCGACCGCCUGGGGAGUACGGCCGCAAGGUUAAAACUCAAAUGAAUUGACGGGGGCCCGCACAAGCGGUGGAGCAUGUGGUUUAAUUCGAUGCAACGCGAAGAACCUUACCUACUCUUGACAUCCAGAGAACUUUCCAGAGAUGGAUUGGUGCCUUCGGGAACUCUGAGACAGGUGCUGCAUGGCUGUCGUCAGCUCGUGUUGUGAAAUGUUGGGUUAAGUCCCGCAACGAGCGCAACCCUUAUCCUUUGUUGCCAGCGGUUAGGCCGGGAACUCAAAGGAGACUGCCAGUGAUAAACUGGAGGAAGGUGGGGAUGACGUCAAGUCAUCAUGGCCCUUACGAGUAGGGCUACACACGUGCUACAAUGGCGCAUACAAAGAGAAGCGACCUCGCGAGAGCAAGCGGACCUCAUAAAGUGCGUCGUAGUCCGGAUUGGAGUCUGCAACUCGACUCCAUGAAGUCGGAAUCGCUAGUAAUCGUAGAUCAGAAUGCUACGGUGAAUACGUUCCCGGGCCUUGUACACACCGCCCGUCACACCAUGGGAGUGGGUUGCAAAAGAAGUAGGUAGCUUAACCUUCGGGAGGGCGCUUACCACUUUGUGAUUCAUGACUGGGGUGAAGUCGUAACAAGGUAACCGUAGGGGAACCUGCGGUUGGAUCACCUCCUUACCUUAAAGAA
RNAcentral lists this ribosomal RNA (1550 nucleotides) under Leclercia adecarboxylata. RNAcentral describes it as "bacterial SSU rRNA". It matches the Rfam family "Bacterial small subunit ribosomal RNA". The record is from RNAcentral. Lineage: Bacteria; Pseudomonadati; Pseudomonadota; Gammaproteobacteria; Enterobacterales; Enterobacteriaceae.